GAAAAAGUACAUCCCAAAACCACAAAACCAGAACCAAUACCCAAAAACAAACUCUUUUUUUGAGCACAAUAAGGCACUCCAAACUCAACCCUUCAAGCUUUCCUUAGUUUUAGCCAAAAUCCACUUCUCAAAUCCUUCAAAAAACUUUCAAAACUAUCAUGAUUUGAUCUAUCAACGCCUGUACCCAAAUGGGUUUUCCCUCAAAACCCUUUUCUUUCCUCCUUUGUCUCUCUUUUUUUCUCUUUGCCAAUCCAGCUCAAUCUGCCACUGAUUACAACACUUUGGUGUAUAAGGGCUGUGCAAAACAGGCUUUUCAAGAUCCAACUGGUGUAUACUCACAAGCCCUCUCUGCUCUCUUUGGUUCUUUAGUUUCCCAGUCAACUAAAACCAAGUUCUUUAAAACCACCACUGGGACUGGCCAAACCACA
RNAcentral lists this unclassified non-coding RNA (428 nucleotides) under Hevea brasiliensis (rubber tree). The record is from RNAcentral. Lineage: Eukaryota; Viridiplantae; Streptophyta; Magnoliopsida; Malpighiales; Euphorbiaceae.